UACGUAGGGUGCAAGCGUUGUCCGGAAUUAUUGGGCGUAAAGCGUGCGUAGGUGGUGUGUUAAGUCUGUCGUGAAAGCCCCGGGCUCAACCUGGGAAUGGCGAUGGAUACUGGCUCGCUAGAGUGCGGUAGAGGAGAGUGGAAUUCCCGGUGUAGCAGUGAAAUGCGUAGAGAUCGGGAGGAACAUCAGUUGCGAAGGUGGCUCUCUGGACCAGCACUGACACUGAGGCACGAAAGCGUGGGGAGCAAACAGG
Molecule: ribosomal RNA, 253 nt
Filed under: uncultured bacterium
Lineage: Bacteria
Description: partial 16S ribosomal RNA
Rfam family: Bacterial small subunit ribosomal RNA
Source: RNAcentral